GACGUAGGGGGCAAGCGUUGUCCGGAUUUAUUGGGCGUAAAGAGCGUGUAGGCGGCCAGGUAGGUCUGGUGUGAAAACUCGAGGCUCAACCUCGAGAGGUCAUCGGAAACCAUCUGGCUAGAGUCCGGAAGAGGAGAGUGGAAUUCCCGGUGUAGCGGUGAAAUGCGCAGAUAUCGGGAAGAACACCUAUGGCGAAGGCAGCUCUCUGGGACGGUACUGACGCUGAGACGCGAAAGCGUGGGGAGCGAACAGG
Molecule: ribosomal RNA, 253 nt
Filed under: uncultured bacterium
Lineage: Bacteria
Description: partial 16S ribosomal RNA
Rfam family: Bacterial small subunit ribosomal RNA
Source: RNAcentral